AACUAGAAGUGGAUUCAGAAUUCGGUGCACGUGGCCAAGUUCUUUGUAGGAGAUUAAAAAAAAAAAAUCAUUGUAAUAAUUAGGGAAGUUUUUUUAAUAUUUUUGAAAUCAAAAGAAAGAAAACAUCCUCUUCUUUUCUAUAAUGUCAUAUUGAAUAAAAAAAGUUUAAGGAGAAAUAUAAAAUAUGUGACAAGAAAAAAGAAAAAGAAAAAAGAAUCUAAAUAAAUUUACAUUACCCAUUAGUCGGGCAUGUUCGUCCCUCCGCGUGUUGUCAUGUGCCGGGAGAGGACCACGAUCACAAUAUUUAUGUCCAAAGGGCCUGGAAGCCCAGCUAGGUUGGCUGUCAAACUGGAUGAAAACAUUGGAAAGUGGAGGUUCAAAAAGGAAAUGUAGGUUUACAUACGAGACGAGUAGGAAGAUAAGGAGUUGUGCUUUUGGAGACAAGA
RNAcentral lists this long non-coding RNA (446 nucleotides) under Elaeis guineensis (African oil palm). Its description in RNAcentral is "long non-coding RNA (EGUI_LNC013327)". The record is from RNAcentral. Lineage: Eukaryota; Viridiplantae; Streptophyta; Magnoliopsida; Arecales; Arecaceae.